Molecule: long non-coding RNA, 300 nt
Filed under: Oryza sativa Indica Group (long-grained rice)
Lineage: Eukaryota; Viridiplantae; Streptophyta; Magnoliopsida; Poales; Poaceae
Description: lncRNA OsKYG_11g0014860
Source: RNAcentral
CCACUCGGUUCACCGUUCACACCAUCUCAUUUCUCUGAAGAACAGGAGCUUAACAGCAGCAUAUAUGCAGCUGCUUUCCGGCGUCCUCUGAUUUGCCACGAACAACUGCUGCUUUCUUUGUGUGAUGGAUCUGCCCAAGUUUGUGGCGAAUUUGAUAGGUUUCUUCCGCAGGUUUUUGUUUCGUCAUUUUUUAUGGUUCAUUUGGCAAAAGUUUUGGUCAGAAAGUUGAUAGAAAGAAAAAGAAUUGCCAUGCAAUGCAGGUAUGCGUCGAAUUUUCUCUGGUUCGUUGCUGUAAAUUAG